Non-coding RNA from Tritrichomonas musculus, 72 nucleotides. The record is from the annotation of a GenBank genome assembly. NCBI's taxonomy places the organism in Eukaryota, Parabasalia, Tritrichomonadida, Tritrichomonadidae.
UGAUCGGUGGUGUAAUGGUAGCAGUGUAAGAUAGUCAAUCUUAAGAUCCAGGUUCGAUUCCCGGCUGGCCAG